UUGUUAAAUGAGUGUUAUGUAGAGUUCAAACAUUAAAAAAAAUUGUGAGUUUGAAUUGAAUUUGAUAAGAGUAAUGGCUGUUAGUGGAAUUAAAUGUUUUGUUGUGAUGAUGUUAAUGGUAAUGUUUGUUGUAAGACAUGCUGAAUGCAUUACUCCAUCUCAAGAUUUUAAGUUAAACAAGAUUCACCAGCCUUUUUGCGAAAUAAUAUGUACCAUUUUAUGUUAUGGAAACCUUUAUAAAACCGAUUAUAAAGCGUGUAAGAGUUCAUGUAAAGAAGAUACAUGCCACCUACAACAAUAAUCUUUGUGUGCGCGUGCAUGCCAUGCAUUGCUUCAAUCUUGAAAAGUUGCAAGAAUAAUAAAUAAAUAUUUCGUAUGCUUUAAGAGAUCCUAUCUAGUUGAAUUAUGUCGAUUUUAAAUAAAUAUAUUAUUAUUCAUAAUGUCUUUUUCUUAAUUUAAAAAAAAUAAUUGAAAGUUUGUUAUUUAUUUA
Lathyrus oleraceus (garden pea) is the source of this 490-nucleotide long non-coding RNA. RefSeq lists it as uncharacterized. The record is from RefSeq and is a predicted model, not a curated record. The transcript is spliced from 2 exons. Lineage: Eukaryota; Viridiplantae; Streptophyta; Magnoliopsida; Fabales; Fabaceae.